GGCAUGUGUGCAGAGGAAGGGCAUGUGAGGAUACAGCAAGAAGGUGGCCAUCUACAAUCCAAGGGAGAUGCCUCAGAAGAAACCAAUCCUGCUGAUAUCUUGAUCUUGGACUUCUACACUCCACAACUGUGAGGAAUACAUUUCUGUUGUUUAUGCUAUCCAGUCUGCGGUACUGUAUUUUGUAAUGGCGGCCCUAGCUAAUACACAUGCCAAAUACCACCUUGGCAGCUGCUCAGAGGGUCCAAACUAACACAAGUGGUACCAAGAGAGGUCCAAAAACAAAAAACAGAAACAAAAGAAAGCUAGAAAAUAAAAUGAAGUUUCAGGACUGGCUCACUCACUAUCUGGUGGGCAAAGACAAUAUUAUCGUGAGUAGUGUAGGGACAUGGAUAGUUCCCAGCACAAGGUGGUGACCAGGUGCUAAAGAUUUCAUCAGUGGUGGCCUGGGAAAACAUCCCAGUAGAGGAGAAGGAAAAGAAUAUAAUUUCAGGCAUUUGAAAUGUAUGGGGGUCAGGGAGGGCAAUGCCUACAAGGACAAUGGAGUUGGCCGGAUACUGCUAAGUUGUAUAGACACUCAGGUGGGAUAACGAAAAAGCAAAGGUCCCCCUUGAUUAAUAGCCAAGUAUGAGAGACAAGAGGACCUCUUUAGUAACUUACAAAAAGGCUUUUAUCUCUAUAGUGGAAGACCUGACACAGUUAUGCCACAAACUUGGGACAUGAUAGAGGCACAGAGCCCCAAAGACAUUUAAAUAUGUAGCCAAAGCUGGUCAGGGCCCUGGCUGAAAAAGCCUGAACACCUGAAACAAGGGAUGGGACAUCUGGAUGCACAACUGUAAGGAUCUUAGCUCUGUAGGCCCUCGUGAACUUUGAAAGCUUGCAGAGAUAGUCUACCUCUUCGUAGUAAGAACUAGUACUUCCUCCAUGCUCAAAGACACUGCAGAGCCACUUCUUCUCUACUGGCUACUAUGCUAAUAAAUGGAAUCAAAUCCUAGCAUAACUGAGCUGAAAACAUGCCUGACCUAAUAAAGGAGGAAAGAGAUCCUAUACAAAGGAGCUGUAAAAAUUAGCAUAUACAAACAAGUCAGAGGAGUUUUGAGGUUGCUCGAUCAUGGGGGCUGGAAUAUUAGACUAGAUAAUCAAGAAUUCAUUGACAGCACUUUCUUCUCGGGAUUUAACACUCUGCAUGGACUCUUACGGAGGGUGUAACAAACUCAUGGGAGGGAUGGGCGGGGGAAUCUCUUAGAAACCUAGAGAAAGUGAUGGCCAAUGCUGAGCAAAGUAGAAACGUCUCAGUCGCCCAGGCACAUGGUAGAAGAAUGAAUUAAAAGACUGGGCGAAGUGGGCAUGCUGGAAUGGAUAUGUGUGAAGCCAGAAGACCCAUCAGAGGAUUCUGUUUCACAGGAGGGCCCAGAAGAUACACCAUUCACCAAGGCCAUCAGAAAUCCUCUGGUAAGGGACACCACCACCAAGAAGUUCUCUGCGUUCCUGAGCUAACAACAGCAGUCACAGAGUUAGGACCCAUUAGUGAUUAUGGGAAAAAUAUUCCCCUUCCCCAAGAAAUAGAGGCCAGAUAGUGGCACUUAGUCACUAGAAGCCAGGAGGCCACAAUUAAAAAGACCAACAACAUUUGACAAGUGGCAGCCAAGAGGGCUUGACUCACAGGGAGUUGUGGAGAUGGAUGUAGAGCUUGGUAUCUCUAGGGGCAAAAUAGGUGGGAAUCCUAUUAACAUCUACAACCCAAAAAAGCCCAAAAUGGAGGAGCAGGAGACUGAGGGUGGUUUCAUCCAGAAAGUCAUCGUCCCUUGUUCAGUAUCCCGAUCCGAGCCACUUUUCAGAUCUGAAACUUGUUGACUUAAGAGGCGGCAGAUCCUGCUGCACUGCAGCAAAUGUAAGUGUUAUGAUUCCCCAGUCCUUUGCUAAAGAUACCUAUGGCCAUUUACUUCAGUGAUUGUACACAGUGGGAAAGAGGAAUAACCAGAAAUUUAAGAACUAUUGGACUCAGUCAACUCAGACAUCAAUAUCCUGGGACCCAAAGCAUUGUCAUAGCCUCUUGUUAGAGUGGAGGCAAAUGGGGACUGGGUAAUAAUCGGAGUUCUGACUAAAGUCUAGUUAGGGUAGGUCCAUUGUGUCUGUGAACCCACCCAGUGGUCAUUUCUUCAGUUCUUGAGUAUGUAAUUGGAGUUGAUACACUUAGCAGCUGCAGUUAUACCAACAUUUAAAUGUUUGACCUGUGUGAAGAGCUAUCAUAGUGGAAAAGGCCAAGUGGAAACACCUGAAAAUGACCUUCCAGACCUGGCUAACAUAGUAAAUUAAAAAAUAAAUGAAAAUAUCACAUACCAGGGGGCAUGGUGGAAAUUAGUGCCACCAUUAAAGACCUAAGAAAUGUGGGGAGGAUGGUCCCUAUCAUAUCUCCAUUUAAUUAGCCAGUCAGGCCCCUGCAGAAACUAGAUGGGUCCUGGAGAAUGACUCUAGACCACCAUAGCAAGUCACAGCCCCAAUAGCACCUGCUGUGCUUUAUAUAGUCUUAUUGCUAGUGCAGAUUAAUAAGGCAUCAGGACAUGACGUGUGGCCAGUGGUUUGUUGAACAAAUUAUUUUCCAUUUUGAUUAGGAAAGAUCAUGUGGGACAGAUAACCAUUUACAGUUUUGCCUCAAGGAUAGAUUAACUCUGCCCUCUGUCAUAAUAAGGUCCAAAGAAAUCUGAACCUCCUAAACAUCUCAUAGAGUAGCACACCGACCCAUUGCAUCAAUGAUAUGCCGGUCAGACUGUACAAGUGGAGUGGCUAGUAUGCUGGAGGCAUUGGUAAGACUAAUGCUUCAGAGAAUAGAAGAAAAAUGCUAUAAAGAUUCAAGGACUUGCCACUUCAGUGAGGUUUUUAGAGUGUACCACUAUAUCCUUCCAAAGUGAAAGUCUUGCAUCCCUUACCACAAAGAAGAAUGCACAGGGCUUGGUAUGUCUCUUUAGGUUCUGGAGCAACAUAUACCAUACUUAGGAAUACUGCUCCAGCCCAUUUACCAGGUGACCUUGAAGAUUUCCAGCUUUGGGGCCCAGAGCAGGUGAAAGCCUCUUCAGAAGUCCAGGCUACAGUACAGACAUCUUUGUCACUUUGGCCAUAUGUUCCAGUAAAAUCUUGUAUUGGAGGUAUCAGAGUAGGAAAAGAAGCAGUUUGGAGCUUGUGAUGGUUAAUUUUAUGUCAACUUGGCUGGGCUAUGGGGUACUCCGGUAUUUGGCCAAACAUUAUUCUGCGUGUGUCUGUGGGUGUGUUUCCAGAUGAAGUUAACAUUGGGUUGGUAGAAUGAGUAAAGCAGAUUGCCAUCCCUAAUGUAAGUGGGCCUCAUUCAAUCAAUUGAAGACCUGAAUAGAACUAAAAGAUUGAGUAGAAGGGAACUCCUGCUUGAUUGCAUAGCUAGGAUGUUGGUCUUUUCCAGCCUUUAGGCUUGGACUGAAACAUCAGCUCUUCUUGGAUCUCGAACCCGCCAACUUUCAGACUGGAAAUCAUGCCAUUGGCUUUCCUUGUUCUCAGGCCGUUGGCUUCAGACUGGGAACUACACAUCAGCUCUCCUGGGUCUCCAGCUUGAUGACUGCAGAUCUUGGGACUUCUUGGCCUCCAUACUCAUAUCCCUGGCUAAUACAGAUCUUGACACCAGCCGUGGAAUGUAGCUGUAACAAAUAACUAAAAAUGUGGAAGCUGCUUUGGAACUGAAUAAUGAGUGGAGUUGGAAAAGUUUUAAAGUGCAUGCUACAAAUAUGGACAUUAAGGACAAUGCUGGUGAGACGUCAGAUGGAAAUGAGGAAGACGUUAAUGGAAAUUGUGGGAAAAGUGACCCUUGUUAUAAAGUGGUGAAUAACUUGGCUGAACUGUGUUGUUUUGUGCAAGGUAGAAUUUGUGAGUGAUGAAAUUGGAUAUUUAGCUGAGGAGAUUUCUAAGCAAAGUAUUGAAGGAGGGGCUUGGUUCCUCCUGAUUGCUUAUAGUAAAAUGUGAAAGGAGAGAGAUGAAGAAGGAAUUGUUAAGCAAAAAGGAGCCAGAACUUGAUGACUUAGAGAUUUCUCAGCCUAUCCAUAUUGAAAAACAUGAGAAAGCAUGUUCUAAAGAAAAUACCGAUGGCACAACUUGAUUAUCAUUUGAUAAAGAGUUUAUGGGAUUAUAUGAGCAGAAACGCAGCCAAUUUGAACUGAAGGGGAUGGAGAUGGGACCAAACAAAGGAAGGCUGUUGGGCUUAUUGAAUUUGACAAGACAGAAUGAUAGAGCUAUUCAGCUGCACACAUGCACUAUUCUGCAAGAAGAGGGGAAAAUGAUGCCGACAGUGAUUAAGAGAUCAUCAGGGCCACUACACUACCUCAGUUUCAAGAGCCUUUGGUGGGGGACUACCCAACAGGACCUUGGGGGUGAUGCUGCCACCUACUGGACCUGGAGAGCAGAGCAUUGAACCAAGGAGGAUUAUUUAAAGCCUUAAAAUCUGAUGGACUUUGCCUUGCUAAAUUUUGAGCUUGCUUGGGACCAUCACCCCUUUCUCCUCCCUUUUGUAAUGAGAAUGUCUAUCCUAUUACUAUCCCACUAUUGUAUUUUGAAAGUAUUUAACUUGUCUGAUUUCACAGAUUCACAGCUGGAGAGGAAUUUUGCCUCAGGAUGAAUCAUACCUCCAGUCUCACUCUAUCUGAUUUAGAUGAUAUUCAAAUGAGACUUUAGAUGCUGGAAUAAAUUAAGAGCUUUGGAGAUUUGGGGAUGAAAUGAAAGUAUUUUGUGUGCAAUAAUGAUGUGAAUUUUAGGAGGCCACAGGUGGAAUGUUAUAGACUGAAUGUGUCCCCCUCCAAAUUCAUACAUUGAAGCCCUAAUCCCCAAUAUGAUGACAAAGAGGCACCAGAGAGCUCUCUUUCUCUGCCCUGUAAGGAUACAGUGAGAAGGUAGCUGUCUGCAAGUCAGGAAGAGAGCUUUCACCAGAUCCUGAUUAUGCUGGCAUCUUGAUCUCGGACUUCUGGCCUCUAGAACUGUGAGAAAAUAAAUUUCUGUUGUUUAAGCCA
This is a long non-coding RNA of Neofelis nebulosa (Clouded leopard), 5018 nucleotides long. RefSeq lists it as uncharacterized. The record is from RefSeq and is a predicted model, not a curated record. The transcript is spliced from 2 exons. NCBI's taxonomy places the organism in Eukaryota, Metazoa, Chordata, Mammalia, Carnivora, Felidae.